UACGAAGGGUGCAAGCGUUAUUCGGAAUCAUUGGGCGUAAAGCGAGCGUAGGCGGCCCGAUAAGUCUGCUGUAAAAGUCAACGGCUCAACCGUUGAAAGCCGGUGGAUACUGUCGGGCUAGAGUUCGGAAGAGGCAAGUGGAAUUCCUGGUGUAGCGGUGGAAUGCGCAGAUAUCAGGAGGAACACCUAUAGCGAAGGCAGCUUGCUGGGACGAUACUGACGCUAAGGCUCGAAAGCGUGGGGAGCGAACAGG
Molecule: ribosomal RNA, 253 nt
Filed under: uncultured bacterium
Lineage: Bacteria
Description: partial 16S ribosomal RNA
Rfam family: Bacterial small subunit ribosomal RNA
Source: RNAcentral